This 90-nucleotide transfer RNA is filed under the name Pedosphaera sp. RNAcentral describes it as "tRNA-Ser". It matches the Rfam family "tRNA". Rfam says of the family: Transfer RNA (tRNA) molecules are approximately 80 nucleotides in length. Their secondary structure includes four short double-helical elements and three loops (D, anti-codon, and T loops). Lineage: Bacteria; Pseudomonadati; Verrucomicrobiota; Pedosphaerae; Pedosphaerales; Pedosphaeraceae. The record is from RNAcentral. RNAcentral also lists the same sequence under 4 other names.
GGAGAGGUGGCUGAGUGGUUGAAGGCACACGCCUGGAAAGCGUGCGUACUCUAACGGGUAUCGAGGGUUCGAAUCCCUCCCUCUCCGCCA